UCAAGACUCAACGUUGGCGCGAUCCUGAAUAUGCGGUCUUUGGUGGGCAAGAUGUCGUGUACCAGCAUCUUGAUGGCCAUGGAGGAUUUCUAUGCGGUCCAUGGAGACCACGCGACUAGGCUGGUUCUCCACAUCAGGGAUUCCAAUGGUGGUGGCAAUAUCCAAGCUGCAUCAGCAGCUGUUGAUCUUCUGGAGAAUCACCAUGUCCAAGCUAUCAUUGGUCCAGAAAAAUCUGCGGAGGCUGCUUUUGUGUCUGAUAUUGGGAAUAACAGUCAAGUCACCGUUAUCUCCUUCACGGCAACGAACCCCACCCUUUCAUCUGCCAAUGUGCCAUAUUUUUUGCGCGCAACAUUAAGCGAUGCUGCCCAAGUGAAUAGUAUUGCUGCUCUCAUCAAAGCAUUUGGCUGGAGGGAAGUUGUGCCCAUAUACGAAGAUACGGACUACGGUAGAGGCAUCGUACCGUACCUGGUGGAUGCACUCCAAGAGUUCGGAGCUUCUAUGCCGUAUCGCAGUGUGAUAGCUCAGUCAGCAAGCAGUGACCAAGUUGAGCAAGAACUAUACAAGCUAAUGACAAUGCAGACAAGGGUCUACAUUGUGCAUAUGUUACCAACCACUGGUUCCAUCCUCUUCAAAAAGGCCAAGGAGAUUGGAAUGAUGACCGAAGCCUAUGUGUGGAUUUUGACGGAUGGAAUCGCAAAUAUCAUCAACUCGCUAAGCCCUUCAGUUCUUGAUGCAAUGGAUGGUGCAUUGGGUGUGAGGUUCCAUGUACCUAGAUCAAAGGAACUUGAUGAUUUCACUGCAAGAUGGAAUAAGAGGUACAGACAAGACUACCCAGAUGACUCACUAUCGCAACUAAGCAUUUACAGCCUCUGGGGUUACGAUGCUUUUUGGGCCCUGGCACAAGCAGCAGCAAAGGUUAGAAUGACCAGUCCCACAUUUCAGAAGCAGCAAUACAGAAAGAACUCAACCUGUGUUGGAACUUUGGGUGUUUCUACAGUUGGUCCAAAACUCUUAGAUGCAAUCUUACAAUGCAAGUUCAGAGGCUUGAGUGGUGAUUUUGACCUCAGAAACAGACAGCUCCAGUUUUCCACAUUCCAGAUAAUUAAUGUGGUUAGAAGAGAAUCAAAAGAAAUAGGUUACUGGACAGCAAAGCAAGGAAUAGUCAGGAACCUGAAUCAAGAUGUAUCAGCACACACAUAUUUAAACCCUAUGCCUGAUCUCAACCCAGUGGUUUGGCCAGGACAAACACAUAUAGUGCCUAAAGGAUGGCAGAUUCCUACUAAUGGGAAGAAGCUCCGAGUAGGUGUACGGACAAGUGGAUAUCCUGAGUUUAUGAAGGUGGACAGGGACCCUGUCACCAAUGCGAUAACGGCAACAGGAUACGCGAUAGAUGUAUUUGAAGAGGCGAUAAAGAAACUCCCGUAUGCAUUCCCUUAUGAAUAUGUAUCAUUUGAUGCUCUCGGAGUAAAUUAUGGGAGCUAUAAUGAUUUUGUCUACCAAGUUCCUCUUGGGGUGUAUGACGCAGCAAUUGGGGAUAUAACCAUCAGGCACAACAGAACAUCUUAUGCUAACUUUGCACUACCAUAUUCUGAAUCUGGGUAG
This 1602-nucleotide ribosomal RNA is filed under the name Triticum aestivum (bread wheat). RNAcentral's name for it is "partial small subunit ribosomal RNA". The record is from RNAcentral. Lineage: Eukaryota; Viridiplantae; Streptophyta; Magnoliopsida; Poales; Poaceae.